UAUAAAUGUUAAAACUUGUUUGUCAAAUGGACAAAAUGUUAAUUAGUGUUAUUGCCCUUACCCCAUUUGUUUGGAAGGAAUAAGAAAGUUCGCAAUGUUUCAUACAAGAUUAAUUAGCGUGUGCAGGCCAUUUAAAACAACAACAUUGUGCUUUCGAGGAAUCUAAUAGUUUCGGAAUCAAAAUCUUAACCACCGUUCAAAGUCCUAAAUGGCUAUUUUUGACUAAACUUAGAAAUAAAUCACAUCCGACAGUCAAAAA
Molecule: long non-coding RNA, 259 nt
Organism: Rhodamnia argentea
Lineage: Eukaryota; Viridiplantae; Streptophyta; Magnoliopsida; Myrtales; Myrtaceae
Exons: 3
Source: RefSeq, a predicted model, not a curated record